Naja naja (Indian cobra) is the source of this 3458-nucleotide long non-coding RNA. NCBI's taxonomy places the organism in Eukaryota, Metazoa, Chordata, Lepidosauria, Squamata, Elapidae. The record is from Ensembl.
AUGAAUGUAUGUUUUUAGCUGUGAGCCGCCCUGAGUCUUCGGAGAUGGGGCGGCAUACAAGUCCAAUAAAUAAAUAAUAAAUAAAUCUAGACCAACCCCCUGCUCAAGCAGGAGAUCCUAUACCAUUUCUGACAGAUGGCUGUCCAGUCUCUUCUUGAAAGCUCCCAUUCUGAUUCUUUGUUCUGUGCAAUGCAGAGGCCAUUCUGAUGGUUAACAAAUUUAUCAUAAGUAAGCUAUAUAGCAGCUAUCUUGAUUUUAGCAUUUUGGUGAAUCAGAUUAUUGUUUAUUACUUCAUCUACAACUUGGUUUGCUUUCACGCUCUUCAUUUUAAUCUCUUCCAAAUCAACCCCCUUGAGGAAGGCCGGGGUGAAAGAAAGCCGCCAGCCCCCAAGCCACCCUUCCCACAAUCCACCUAACCAGUUUACCCAAUUCACUCCCCCCACCCCCUCCCUGGGCUUCUAUAAUAAUACCCAGAAUCAUGGGAUGUUCAAGCGGGCUGAGCUUAUCGGAUGGUGCGAAGGCUAGGCGCAAAGUUUCGAACUGAAUCGCACCUACCCGCCUGCAGCUGAUCAAGGGGGGGGGGGAGGAAACUUCACAGUUUGCAAUCCCUGCUAGUCCACCAGGCUUGAACUACAACUCCCAGAACCCCCUGGCCAAUCUGGGAAAAGCUGCGGUCGGCUGACGCGAUCGCAGCUGCGCGUCUCCAUCCCUCCCCCCACUGUUGCAAAGCGCAGCUGCUGGAGCGGCGGAAGGAAACGGGGUUAUCUGCCCGGGCAGCUGCCCUUUCACUGCCUUUUGCGACGCGGGCGCUCUCCGGUUCCUGCGGGAGUCCCGCCCGGCCGGACAUGGGCGAUGUGGCGCAUGCAAUCACUUCGUCGGCGGCUCUGGCUGCCUGGCUUGCAGCUCUGGGCGGCUGGGCCUCUCUCGGCUUCCUGCAGCUGCAAAGCCGGCUUCUCGGAGCUUCGCCGCCCUGCGCCGCCGAGGGAUCAACGCUGCCCCAUGGCCGGGUCUUCCCAGCACGCCUCUUUUAAUCACCUGGCAAACGGAGGAGAAAGGAAGACAGUUAUCUGCAUUGAGGGGAAUAUUGCUAGUGGGAAAACAACCUGCCUGGAUUAUUUUGCUAAAAACACUGGCAUUGAGGUGAUGCAUUGUGGUUUCUUAAAGUUUCUUUUUAAAGUGUGCUUCACGUGGUUGAAAACAAAUAGGAUCCGGAUUGCCAUUCACAAGUUUAGUGAUGUUCCUGCCCUAUGAAUUUUUUUUCCACCACAGUUUCUUUGAAUAUCAUGUCUUAGUGAGAGUUCCAGAAAUGUUGCUGUUUUUCCCCCUCCCCUGAAACUACUUUAUACGACUUAUUUUCAAUGCUUCAGGGCAGAUUACAAAAACAUAAUAAAAUAAUUCAUUUGUAAAACUCAAUUCCACAAAAUACAUAGCACCUGAAAAGCCUUGGUGAAAACAGGCUGGAACUUUGUCUAUAUAAAAGCAAAAUACCACUCAUGCAUCAUUACAAAAUCUCCAGAACCAUAAAGCCUACAAACUUGAAAUUUGGCACAUAUGUUCCUUUUGGCUUCUAGCGCUCACUAAGAAAGAAUUUUUCGAAAUGACCAUCAGAGCAUUAGUAUUUCUUAUAUUAUUAUUAUUAACGCCUCUGAUGCUAAGGAGUUCUACUCCCACUCCCCACCUGAAAAGAAAUCUGUUCCAACUGCAGUUGAGCUAAGCCACACCCAGGCUCCUUGCUGUCUCCUUGCUCACACUGCAAAUACUAUUUCACUUUCCAAACAGCCCUCAACUCUCUCACACACUGACAGGACUCUAGCCAGAUGAAUACCGAUAGAUGCUGGUAGGCAGAGGCAGCAUUCCCCCCCCCCCGCCUCUAAUUUUCCUCCCCAAAAACUUGUCCGAUCACAUAGUUUCGUAGCAAAGCACUGGUACCCUGCUAGUAAACCAUAAUAAAGGGGGUGGGGUACUAUAAUUUGAAUGGCAUUUUGCUCAUUAAUACAUAUCUGCCUUUGAAAAAAGUGGACUCAGUUGCUAACCGGUAACUGGUAGACCGAACCUGGUUUAAACCCAUCUCUGUAUCGCUGUAUGUCAGUUUCAAAAGUUGUCUGUUGCUGCAUCACUUCUGAAACUGACAGAUAUCAGCUUGGAUCACCACAGAAAGUGCUUGUGUUAAGCUUCUACAAGAUAACGGUGGGAGGAUUGAAAAGGCUGGCUGGAUGUUCAGAAAGUGAAGUUAAAGAAGGUGUGGCAAAAAUUUUAAAAAUGUUUUUUUUUAAAUGAAUAAAUAAAUCAAGACGAAACUCCCUUAAACACUGCAGAAUUAGAAAGAAACACAAAGCAGAGACAAAAGCAGAAGCUAAUGAAACAAUGAAAAGAUCACAAAUCGGGGGUUCUCAACCUUGUUUUCACCACACACACCCUUUAAAUACCUUUUGUGGCCACGGACCCUCAAGACUUAACGCAAGAUUUAAAUGACAUUUCUUCAAACCUUUGUGGACCCAGUGACGACGUUGCAGCCCCACAGAGCUCUGCAGACCACAGGUUGAGAACCACUAAUAUACAUAAUUUAUUGAUCAGUGGUUUCACAUAGUAGCGAAAGAGCAUAAGAGGAAUCGUAAGAUAAUUUUUUCAAGGGCAAAACUGGUCUGGCAAAGCAGUCAGUCAUAUAGAAGCUUACAUACUUUGCAUACUAUCUGUCUGAGGGUACCAGCAGCUAAUCUUCCACAUUCCUUGGUUGUUUUUGUAGUGUAGUUUCAGAGAAGUAAACUAAAAUUUUCUGUAUUGCACUGAUUAUUUUUUUAAAACUUUCAACCCAGGUGUUGACAGAACCAGUAUCUAAAUGGAGGAAUAUCCAUGGUCACAACCCUCUGGUGAGUUGCUAGAAUGAAGCUCCUGGACUUAUUUUCUGUAUUAAUUGUUUUAACUGCUUGAAAGCCCUUGAAUUAUAAUGAGAAACUAAAACUGAACUACCCUUGUCUAACACCAGAAAAUAUAUUGAUUCUCUAAGUUCAAGCAUUAUUAUUUAGAUUUUUUCCUAAUUAGGUUGCUUGUUUCCAAGGGAGGUCACUGUCCCGCAGAUGGGCGGGUGUGAGACCCUCCUCGUGAGAUUGGGCCCUGGUGGUCGGUUGGGUUUGCUGAACGUACCUGUCCCCCAGCUGCGUGGCGGCGGCCCUGCCUGGGCUGCUCGACGUCCUCUCGGAGGUGGCGGUGGAGUUCCCUAGGCUCAUAGUUCUGAGGGACUUUAACCUGCCGUCGCUGGGGGGGGGCGUCGGGUUUAGCUCAGGAGUUCAUGGCAUCCAUGGCAGCCAUGAACCUGACCCAGGUGAUCCAAGGACCCACCCACGAGGGGGGGAACACACUUGACCUGGUUUUUAUCUCGGGGCAGUGGUGUAGUGAUCUGGGGGAGGGUUCUCCAUCUACCCUCCCUUUAUCGUGGACAGAUCACUAUCUCCUGCAGCUGG